AUUGAAAGCUGGCGGCAGGCCUAACACAUGCAAGUCGAGCGGAGCGGCGGACGGGUGAGUAAUGCCUAGGAAUCUGCCUGGUAGUGGGGGAUAACGUCCGGAAACGGGCGCUAAUACCGCAUACUAUCAGAUGAGCCUAGGUCGGAUUAGCUAUUUGGUGGGGUAAAGGCCUACCAAGGCGACGAUCCUUAACUGGUCUGAGAGGAUGAUCAGUCACACUGGAGCGUAGACAAGGUCCAAGCUCCUACGGGAGGCAGAAGUAGGGAAUAUUGCACAAUGGGCGCAAGCCUGAUGCAGCCAUGCCGCGUGUAUGAAGAAGGCCUUCGAGUUGUAAAGUACUUUCAGCGGGGAGGCGUUACCCGCAGAAGAAGCACCAGCUAACUCCGUGCCAGCAGCCACGGUAAUUC
Molecule: ribosomal RNA, 407 nt
Filed under: uncultured bacterium
Lineage: Bacteria
Description: partial 16S ribosomal RNA
Rfam family: Bacterial small subunit ribosomal RNA
Source: RNAcentral